GAGUUUGAUCGUGGCUCAGAUUGAACGCUGGCGGCAGGCCUAACACAUGCAAGUCGAGCGGUAGAGAGAAGCUUGCUUCUCUUGAGAGCGGCGGACGGGUGAGUAAUGCCUAGGAAUCUGCCUGGUAGUGGGGGAUAACGCUCGGAAACGGACGCUAAUACCGCAUACGUCCUACGGGAGAAAGCAGGGGACCUUCGGGCCUUGCGCUAUCAGAUGAGCCUAGGUCGGAUUAGCUAGUUGGUGAGGUAAUGGCUCACCAAGGCGACGAUCCGUAACUGGUCUGAGAGGAUGAUCAGUCACACUGGAACUGAGACACGGUCCAGACUCCUACGGGAGGCAGCAGUGGGGAAUAUUGGACAAUGGGCGAAAGCCUGAUCCAGCCAUGCCGCGUGUGUGAAGAAGGUCUUCGGAUUGUAAAGCACUUUAAGUUGGGAGGAAGGGCAGUAAAUUAAUAACUUUUGCUGUUUUGACGUUACCGACAGGAAUAAGCACCGGCUAACUCUG
This 504-nucleotide ribosomal RNA is filed under the name uncultured bacterium. RNAcentral describes it as "bacterial SSU rRNA". It matches the Rfam family "Bacterial small subunit ribosomal RNA", at positions 9 to 505 of the family's 1533-position model. The record is from RNAcentral.